GGUUAGAAAGUGAAGUAUCACGUUUAGUUUCGGCCUAAGUUUUGGUCAGUAAGACCUCUAAUUU
RNAcentral lists this transfer RNA (64 nucleotides) under Corallianassa coutierei. Its description in RNAcentral is "tRNA-Arg". The record is from RNAcentral. Lineage: Eukaryota; Metazoa; Arthropoda; Malacostraca; Decapoda; Callianassidae.